Molecule: long non-coding RNA, 2948 nt
Organism: Macaca mulatta (Rhesus monkey)
Lineage: Eukaryota; Metazoa; Chordata; Mammalia; Primates; Cercopithecidae
Source: Ensembl
AAAAGGAAAUGGCUGUGUAAGGGAGACACAGAGAGGGAAAGAGAGAGAGGUGGGUUUCUAAUGACAGGAGGAAGCCCCAAAUAUGGUGAAUAUGAAGUUAAGUUGGUGGCCAGUCAAGAAGGUGGGGACGAUGAGAACACAGAGGGAGGAAGGUAACAAAACCCAGAAGUGGUCCAGGCAGACCAUAGAGAUCAGAGCUUCCUUUUCAUCUUCUGCAUGGCAGGACAAGAGGUCAUGAACUUAUCCUUCUCUCAUUAUCCACGGGGACUGAACAUGGGGAAGAAGCCUUGUGUUUAAAAGCAGCGAGACUCGGGUACUUCCUGCCUGCACCAGGGGCUUCUCAGCUUACUCCCAGAUUUCUAAUACGUCAUCUCAUUGCAGCUGAUGACAUCCCUCCAAGACAGGUAAGAACUACCAUGCCCAUUGGACAGCCAUCAAAAAUAGAGCUCGAAGAGUUUGAGGUCACAUUUGUAGCAUGGCAGGCAGAAUCUAAACUGGCCCGAGAUUCCUGCUCCCUGAUAGGCAUGCAUCGCAUGUCCACCCUUUGAGUGCAGGCGGGACUUGGGAAUAUGAGAUGUCCCUGCUAUUGUAAGGUUACCUUAUAAGGCAAAGGUGGUAGAAUUUUGCAGAUGUAAUUAAGAUCCCUAAUCAGUUGAGUUGGAGUUAAUCAAAAUGGAGAUUUGCCUAAGUAGGCCUGACCGAAUCAGGUGAGUCUUUUAAAAGAGAAUCCAGGCCAGGUGCAGUGGCUCACGCUGGUAAUCCCAGCACUUUGGGAGGCCGAGACGGGCAGAUCACGAGGUCAGGAGAUCGAGACCAUCCUGGCUAACACAGUGAAACCCCGUCUCUACUAAAAAAUACUAAAAACUAGCCGGGCGUGGUGGCGGGCGCCUGUAAUCCCAGCUACUCUGAAGGCUGAGGCAGGAGAAUGGCGGGAACCCAGGAGGCAGAGCUUGCAGUGAGCUGAGAUCGUGCCAGUGCACUCUAGCCUGGGUGACAUAGCAAGACUCCAUCUCAACAACAAAAAAAAAAGACAGAGAAUCCAGGCCUUCCCUGAAAAGGGAAAUUUAAAGUGAGAGAACAGCUCUCCUGCUGGUCUUGAAGAAGCAAGAUUCCAGGAGUUCUGCGUUUACAAGGAAAUGGUUUCUACCAAGAACAACCUGAGCUUGGAAGGAUCUCGGGCCCAGAGGAGACCUCAGCCCCAGCAAUACCUUGAUUGCAACCUUGUGAGAUCCCAAGCGGAAGAUUCCAGCUCAGCUGUGCCCAGACUCAUGACCCACAGAGAAUGUGACAUAAUGAAUGUGUUUUGAGCCUUUAAAUUUGUGGCAAUUUGUUACACAGCAAGAGAAAGCAAGUACACAUGUGACCACCAAUCAAGUACACUUGCCUUAACAUCCACGCCGUGGCCAUUCCAACCCCCUUUGUGAACUCCUUUCUGAUCUUUCCAGUCUACACAUGCAAUAAAGCUCACUUUAAAUUUGCUUCUAUCCUACUAUUUUCUUAUCCUAAAAUAUAUUCUCAUAUAUACAAAAAUCUACUUCUUGACUUGGCCAUGAAUCUCAAUGUUAUCAAAGAGCUUUCUUAUAAUACACACAAAAAGAAACUACGAUAGUUUUUCUUUUCCAAGGGCCUUGAACAGCAGCAUAUCUGACACCAGUAUGAAACUUUCUUGUUAAGCCCAUAAACGUUAGUACCUUGUGAGAAAAGCCGUACCUUUAGAAACACCUGACUAAAUAUUUCAUAAAUGCAAUGCACAGCAAAUUCCUGCAGUAGAUUCACUGGAUUUACAACCAUCAAACUGUAUUAAACUUACAAUAUCAAGAUUUAUCACCUAUAAAAUGGAGUCUCGUUUUAGUAAUAUCUCACAUUCGAUCCCAAAGGAUCUCAAAUACCUUCGACCCUUCACCAGGGCACUUCACCAUAAUUCAUAACGAGGUAAUCAAAUACUUCACUGUAAGGCAGCCACCGCCACAUUAGAGGAUUAACUCACCUAUCAAGGAAGGGUAGGCAGGGCUGAGACAGAAGGCAGCCGCUGCUUUACCGAGUGCAGAAAUGGUACCAAGAUCUAGAUCACAGGGAGCAAUACCGGUUUAAAACUACAACCCAGAAACAUAGAGCCUGAAAUGCCGAGCCAGUCCUCAGAAUGUUUGCAGGAUGUCAUUAUGCAUGUUGAGAUUGUAACUUUGGGUUGAAAUGUGUGAGUAAAUUUUGAAGAUUUAUAGUGAUCACAUAUCUUAAAUAAUUCAUCAAAAGUAUUCAGGUCUUUAUGAUAUAGGCAAAUUACAUGAUCAACAUCUUAGGAGCAUCUCUGGACCCAUCAUUUAAAGUAUAAUUUGGUCUAUUGAAGAGACCACCAAUUUCCAUGGCACCAUGAACCAACAACUACUAUGGUGAGACACCAUAAGGAGAACUCCUACCCAUCCCUCAAAACGCAGCUCAAGUAUCACCCCCAGCUGUGAAUGUUCCCUUCACCUUCCGACCUUCUUCUGUGUACCCUGGUCAGUCCUUAUUAGAAGGGACAUUGGAUUAAAAUUAUAUGGUUAUACACAAUGUUCCCCAUCAUAAUUUGGGUCCUGAAUAUAAUGAGGUUCAUGAUUCAUUUUCAGGGAUAUGUUUAACAUCCUUGCAUGUCUUUACUCAUCUGAAGAAUGGGAAUAACAGUAAUAUCUACUCUUAUACAAAACAGAGAAAAGUAUUUAGAACACUGAGCACUUAAUCAUUGUUAUUUAUCAUUAUUAUUUACACUGGCUGUGCCUGUCACUCAGUCAUAUCAUCCUAUCUUAUUGUCUUUAAGGCAAAUAUUCUCCAAAACUAGCAGGUUUCCUUAAGAUCUGUCUCCCCAUUCCACUCCCCCUGAUCCCCAGGACGUAAGCUUCCAUGCAUGUGACAGACAUGUCCAUUGCACUAAAUCCCAUUGACUCUGCAGUGCCUGAUCAUCGAGGAUGCUGAGU